This is a long non-coding RNA of Gasterosteus aculeatus aculeatus (three-spined stickleback), 963 nucleotides long. The record is from Ensembl. Lineage: Eukaryota; Metazoa; Chordata; Actinopteri; Perciformes; Gasterosteidae.
UCCCCAUGAGCUGCAAAAUAUAAAAAAGUGACCUUUAAUCCUUAAUUUUUGUCGUACGUUCUCGCAGCCAAAUCAGGGGAACCAAAAGAUUGUCAACACGGUCAAGGUGGAUCAAGAUGAUCCCCAACAGGGUUCAUGCCCCUAAAUCAGUACACACAAAUAUCGAGUCAACAAUUACCAGGAAGUUCAUUUUAAGUGCAACCACAAAAACAUGUCAAACAAAUGGUUAUUUUUUUCCCAGCUGCACGAGUUGGAAGAAAUACCUUCUGUGGGGGGGGAUCGGAGAUCCUGACACUUCGCAAGACGUUAGCAAGAAGGUAGCAAGACGUUAGCAAGAAGGUAGCAAGACGUUAGCAAGAAGGUAGCCAGACGUUAGCAAGACGUUAGCAAGAAGGUAGCAAGACGUUAGCAAGAAGGUAGCAAGACGUUAGCAAGAAGGUAGCCAGACGUUAGCAAGACGUUAGCAAGACGUUAGCAAGAAGGUAGCAAGACGUUAGCAAGAAGGUAGCAAGACGUUAGCAAGAAGGUAGCAAGACGUUAGCAAGACGUUAGCAAUAAGGUAGCAAGUUAGAAUCCGUGAAUAAAGAAAUCCACAGUACCGUGUUGUAGGCCUGUUGUAGGGAGUGAUGGGAAUCCGCCCGUAGUGAAAGAGGUGAGCCGAGCAAAACACAUAAAAGGUUUUCGACAAAGAUGCCUCGGCAAAAAACAGAAAAUGACUUUGUGACUGCUGUAAGGGGGUCGAGGUGAGGUCCAGUGAUAAUAAACCUUGGGCUCCUCUAACUUUGCAGACACAUUUCACAGAAAUGAAGCUUAUCUGUACCAUGAGACCCUCGAGUGACUUCUGUCAUAACGCUUCCUAUGUGGUCUGGCGGUAAGGGUUCCCCCACCUGCAAAAUAACACGAUAACCCCCGGUUGUCACACCAGAUCGUAUCUCAAUUCCAUUCUCUCAAAUUAUAAGCAGG